CUGUUAACCUUCUCCUGGUAUUUUCUGCAAGAAACUAGUAGUUUUGAGCCUAGCCUAUAUCGUUUUUGAUGCUAUAUGUUUUUCAAGUUAUUGUCCUUGCAUUUAAUUUUCUUUUUAUUGGGCUGUGCUCCUAAGGUAUGGACUCUGCAUACUGUUCUUGUUUUCCUUUGCUUGUGUUGCAUUUAAUUUCUUUUUGGCUGAGCUCUGUACCUAAGAUGUAGCGCGUUUGAACUUUUGGCAUGCCAUGCUUAUUAUUUUCUAUGUAUUGUGUGAUUUCAGGCUAUGUCAAGGUAUGUUCGCAGGGAAUCCAACUGUCUGUCAUUUACAGGUACUAAUUUCUGCCUCAAACAAAUACGUAUAAUUUCAAUUUAUGUGAGAAGGAUGUUAGAACUUGUUUACUGAGGGCUUUCAUGCUCUUAAUAUCCCCUUUCAAAGAGAUGCGGAAAAGUCUUAAACAAUGCGAGGCACCAUAAGUUACUGUUUUUUCUCAUUAUCUAUAUUUGUGAUGUAACGUUUCACAUCUGCAAACCACCCACCAUUCAAAAGGAAAGAUAGAGGAAAUAGGAUAAGAAAAUCUUUUACAGGAUACCCUGUUGCUUUCAAAUCGCCAGUUUGGGGGUUGAAAAAUGCUUAUCCUGGUUUCGGGAUGACUCAAUUGUUGAAAAUAUAAUUAACUAAUAAGAAGUGUGAUUUCUCUAACAGCUUAAGCACUUCAACAUGGUAUUAGUGCAGGCAGAGGUCCUUGGAUCGAAUCUCACCGCCACCCAUAUCAAAAAGAAUUUCCACGUGCUUGGCCCAUGAAAAAAUAUCAGGCCCGCACGUCGGGGGCGUGUUGAGAUUAUAAUUAACUAAUAAAAAGUGUGCUCUCUCUAACAAUUUAAUUUUUAGAUGAGAUGGUCACACACUUUAGCAUCAAUGCUAUAUAUACUCUUGAAUACAAUAAAAUAGUUUCGGUACUCUUGAAUACUUUACCAGUCCCAAAUAGAUAUUUUUUCUGCAUUUCAAAUGUUUCCAUGAGUAUUUUCUAUGAACCUCGAUAGAGUUAAGUUGCGCGGACUUCACUUUUAAUGCUGCACUCGUGUCGGGUUCUCCAAUACUUUUGGAGAAUCCGACAUGCACCUGUUGACAUUCUUGAUGAGUCCAAGCAACAUAGCUAAUUAGCGACAGUCAUUAGGAUGCUUGAUUGUGAUUUUAGUUGUUAUUUCUGUGUACAUGGUAGUCGUUGAAGUGAUUCUUUGCUUAUGUCCAAUUAUUUGUGACGAUGUUUUGCAUGAGGCCGCCUACCUUAGAGUUGGUUGAAUUCAAUCCAACCAUUCAAUUUGCAUGCUUCACUUAAACAAAAUGGGGCAAGGUCUUGUUUGGACACUGUAUUUAUUUGCAUUUAUUUCUGUGUUUUCAUUCCCAUAUCCAUGAUGCAUGGUUGAUCCUAGCCUUUUAUCAUCUGAAGCAGCCCAAUUUUCAUAUGAACCAUGUUAUGGGCACAAAAAUACCAAGAAGACGCAGGAAAUUUUGCUACUUCCUUUUUCCUAAUCGAAUCCUUAUUGUUAACCUGUAAUAAGAUAAUAUUACGAAUUUCAAGGACUAUGUUAACACUGAUGUUGCUUUUGGUUUGACAGAUAAGGAAGCUAUGUUUUCAGGGAACUUCAUGUUCACCUCAUUGGGCAGCACAAUAGCUGGUACAGUGUAACGACUAACGAUGAGAGAAAUGAAAACCAAACAUGCUCAUUAAGCACACCAAAAUGCAUGGAGAGAUCCAGGCCUUCUGUCAAUGAUAUUAUAGAAGAAAUUGCUGAUUGUUUAAUUAAGCAAGAGAUGUGAUGUCCGCUAUUAUCCAUCUUUGGUUAACUUGGUAUAAAUCUGAAGCUGCUGGUUUUUUGUUCCCCAGCAUGAAACUUGGAUAAAAAUAUCUUACUGUCAUUUGUUAAUUGCUUUGAUUUUAAAUCAUACAAAGUAAUAUAGGAGAGUUCAAGAUUUGGAAUUAUGGAAGUGUGGUAUAUUUCUGUUUUUUAUUUUGUGGGAAAUGUACAAGGGGUGAGUUUACAGCUUAAAUUGAUCUUGUUUGCUGUGGAAAGAUCGUGGUUAACUAGCACACAAUUAUACACAAAAUAAAUAGAGAAAAA
Molecule: long non-coding RNA, 2120 nt
Filed under: Solanum tuberosum (potato)
Lineage: Eukaryota; Viridiplantae; Streptophyta; Magnoliopsida; Solanales; Solanaceae
Description: long non-coding RNA (STUB_LNC006481)
Source: RNAcentral